Regulatory RNA element from Trichomalopsis sarcophagae, 46 nucleotides. It matches the Rfam family "Histone 3' UTR stem-loop". From Rfam's summary of the family: The mRNAs of metazoan histone genes lack a poly-A tail. 3' end processing occurs at a site between a highly conserved stem-loop (modelled by this family) and a purine rich region around 20 nts downstream (the histone downstream element, or HDE). The stem-loop is bound by a 31 kDa stem-loop binding protein (SLBP - also termed the histone hairpin binding protein, or HBP). The record is from Rfam. NCBI's taxonomy places the organism in Eukaryota, Metazoa, Arthropoda, Insecta, Hymenoptera, Pteromalidae.
CAAUCGGCCCUUUUCAGGGCCACCAAAAUAUAAAAUNAGUAGAAAU